GAGUUUGAUCCUGGCUCAGGACGAACGCUGGCGGCGUGCUUAACACAUGCAAGUCGAACGAUGAAGCCCAGCUUGCUGGGUGGAAGAGUGGCGAACGGGUGAGUAACACGUGAGUAACCUGCCCUGAACUCUGGGAUAAGCACUGGAAACGGUGUCUAAUACUGGAUACGACCUAUCACCGCAUGGUGUGUGGGUGGAAAGAUUUAUCGGUUCUGGAUGGACUCGCGGCCUAUCAGCUAGAUGGUGAGGUAAUGGCUCACCAUGGCGACGACGGGUAGCCGGCCUGAGAGGGUGACCGGCCACACUGGGACUGAGACACGGCCCAGACUCCUACGGGAGGCAGCAGUGGGGAAUAUUGCACAAUGGGCGCAAGCCUGAUGCAGCAACGCCGCGUGAGGGAUGACGGCCUUCGGGUUGUAAACCUCUUUUAGUAGGGAAGAAGCGAAAGUGACGGUACCUGCAGAAAAAGCACCGGCUAACUACGUGCCAGCAGCCGCGGUAAU
Molecule: ribosomal RNA, 503 nt
Filed under: uncultured bacterium
Lineage: Bacteria
Description: bacterial SSU rRNA
Rfam family: Bacterial small subunit ribosomal RNA
Source: RNAcentral